Molecule: long non-coding RNA, 382 nt
Filed under: Olea europaea (common olive)
Lineage: Eukaryota; Viridiplantae; Streptophyta; Magnoliopsida; Lamiales; Oleaceae
Description: long non-coding RNA (OEUR_LNC001030)
Source: RNAcentral
AGCGGUCGCUAGAGCUUGGACUUCAUACUUCACAAGUCUUUUGAACCGUUCUCCCAACUCAUUACGCAUACAUACAAGUCUCGAUGAUGGAUAUAACCGUUUGGAUCCGAUUGCUGUUGGAGUUCUCGCAAUUGCAUCAACAAUUGCAAUGGCCAGUGCAAGGAGAGCUUCCUCCAUAAAUAUAUAUAUAUAUAUAUUUCUUCUGCUAGAACAUACAUGCAAACUGAUCCAACCAGUAUGAAUUAUAGAAUCUUGCAGCCACAAAAAUCAUGAAAUGGUGAUGAAGAGUGAUUAAGAAAUCAUAUGAAAAAAUGCACCAUAAAUGGAAAACCAAAAUUCAUUUUUAAUUACCGUGAAAGAAGGAGAAGUUUGAAUGUUUUCC